This 326-nucleotide ribosomal RNA is filed under the name uncultured eukaryote. RNAcentral describes it as "partial 18S ribosomal RNA". It matches the Rfam family "Eukaryotic small subunit ribosomal RNA", at positions 1470 to 1796 of the family's 1831-position model. The record is from RNAcentral.
CCCUUAGAUGUUCUGGGCCGCACGCGCGCUACACUGAUGCAUUCAACAAGCCUAGCCUUGACCGAGAGGUCCGGGUAAUCUUUGAAACUGCAUCGUGAUGGGGCUAGAUUAUUGCAAUUAUUUAUCUUCAACGAGGAAUGCCUAGUAAGCGUGAUUCAUCAAAUCGCGUUGAUUACGUCCCUGCCCUUUGUACACACCGCCCGUCGCUCCUACCGAUUGAAUGUGUUGGUGAGGAGCUCGGAUUGGCAGCAGUUGGUGGUUCGCCACCGGCUAUUGCUGAGAAGUCCUCCAAACCGCCCCAUUUAGAGGAAGGAGAAGUCGUAACA